UCUCCGUAGGUGAACCUGCGGAGGGAUCAUUACUGAGUGAGGGCUCCGUCCCGACCUCCAACCCCAUGUGAACCGAAACCUGUUGCUUCGGGGGCGACCCUGCCAUCGUGCGAGGCGCCCCCGGAGGCUCAUUAAACACUGCAUCUCUGCGUCGGAGUCUUAAUGAAUUUAAACAAAACUUUGAACAACGGAUCUCUUGGUUCUGGCAUCGAUGAAGAACGAGC
Molecule: unclassified non-coding RNA, 224 nt
Filed under: uncultured fungus
Lineage: Eukaryota; Fungi
Description: sequence contains ITS1, 5.8S rRNA gene
Source: RNAcentral